This 996-nucleotide long non-coding RNA is filed under the name Heterocephalus glaber (naked mole-rat). Its description in RNAcentral is "lncRNA (ENSHGLG00100041529.1)". Lineage: Eukaryota; Metazoa; Chordata; Mammalia; Rodentia; Bathyergidae. The record is from RNAcentral.
GUCGUUUGUAACAAGAGCAAGAGCCCAAUAUUCUUCUGAGGAAACCCAAAGCCAUCACUGAGCUUACCCAGGAGCCCUUCCUGGUGUCCCCGAACCUAGAGGUCCCUGGCCUGGGCUCUUCUCUGUCCACUUAGAGAUGGGAAAACACCAGUCUGCUGCUUCUCAGGGAAGAUAUCUCUUCCUACACUGAUUUGCCUAAAGCAACCUGUGCAGGACACUCAAGGAGCUGUCGGAUUCUGGAAAGCUCUGUCAGAACCAGAGGAAGUUCUCGGCCUCCCGGUCACCCCAGAGACAAGCCCCUGGCAUCUCCUGAGGAGACGUGAUCAGAGUUCUGGGGGCCGAAGUCUAGAACAGGACGGGGCUGCCUGUCUCCUGGAAGCGAGGGGAGGGGCUCUGGGCCGCUGGCAUCCUGGGCCCCUGGCCCUCCCUCCGGGAGCAACUCCUCAGGUCUCUGAUCCCUGCCUCCCUCCCCACUUUCUCCUGCUGGCCUUCCUGCCUCCCUCGGGGAAGGGCUGCGUUGAUAUGGGCCCCGAGGGGGUAAUGCGGAGUAAUUAUCUCAUCUCUCAACCCCCAUGUAAUCCUGCCUGCCAAGUCCCCUGCGCCCCUGAAGUAACUACGGUCCGCACAGUUCCCGGGACGGGAUGUGGCAUGUUUGGAGGACCCUGGUAGCCGGGAGGAUGUGGCCUCAUCUGUUCACCAGCACACCCCCUGGCACGGCACGGUGCCCUGCAUACAGGAGGCGCUCAAUAAUUGCUGGCCGAGUAACCGGAUGACAUGAGAGCCUAAAUCACGGCAUUGGACAUCUACAGCCCUGAGGGGACUGGAGGCAUGAGAACCCCCUCAGACGGGCCGAAUCAGAACCUGGCAGAUUUGGGGAAAGGCUGAAAACAUCUAUGUGGUGUGAUCAAAAGAUAUGGUGAAUAUGAAUAUAUAUUUUUCCUGAACAUUUAUUAUAGUAAAGACACAUUGUCAUGAAUCUCCCUCAAAAUACUCCCC